CGCGUAGGCGGCCCUGCAAGUCCGAUGUGAAAUCCCUCGGCUCAACCGGGGACCCGCGUCGGAAACUGCAGGGCUUGAGUGCAGGAGAGGAGAGCGGAAUUCCCAGUGUAGCGGUGAAAUGCGUAGAUAUUGGGAGGAACACCGGUGGCGAAGGCGGCUCUCUGGACUGCUACUGACGCUGAGGCGCGAAAGCUAGGGGAGCAAACGGGAUUAGAUACCCCGGUAGUCCUAGCCGUAAACGUUGGGCACUAGGUGUGGGAGGUAUCGACCCCUUCCGUGCCGCAGCUAACGCAUUAAGUGCCCCGCCUGGGGAGUACGGCCGCAAGGUUGAA
Molecule: ribosomal RNA, 332 nt
Filed under: uncultured bacterium
Lineage: Bacteria
Description: bacterial SSU rRNA
Rfam family: Bacterial small subunit ribosomal RNA
Source: RNAcentral